This 81-nucleotide transfer-messenger RNA is filed under the name Rikenella sp. RNAcentral's name for it is "partial transfer-messenger RNA". It matches the Rfam family "transfer-messenger RNA", at positions 292 to 374 of the family's 374-position model. Rfam says of the family: Bacterial tmRNA, also known as 10Sa RNA or SsrA, is named for its dual tRNA and mRNA-like properties. Lineage: Bacteria; Pseudomonadati; Bacteroidota; Bacteroidia; Bacteroidales; Rikenellaceae. The record is from RNAcentral.
ACAAUCAAGCGGAGACUAAGCAUGUAGAAAGCUUCGGGGUUCCUCGUUUGGACGAGGGUUCGAUUCCCUCCAGCUCCACGA